CCACUCUUCCAUCUAACCUUUCCCUUUCUCUGUGUUCCCACUACCCCAUUAUUCAUCAUCCUUUUUCAUUUCAUUCUUCUACAUUUUCUCAUUCAAGCCAUCAAUUUUCAAACUUUAAGAGUCAUUAAUAGAUUAGGAUAGGAUAGCCAGCCAUAGUAUAUGAAAAAGGAGAUAGACAAGGACAACCCCAAAUCACCAAUAUCUAGCAUCACACUUAUGUUCCUUUAGUUAAUCACCGAAUCACCAUCUUUCAAUUCUUCUUGAACUAGAAAACUUAUUCGAACUACAAAUCAAACCCCAAUUUUGUUUUAGUUCUUGUGGCCUACAUUGAGGGCUUGUAUGCCAUGCUUAUGAGUUGAUUUGGUAGCUAGAAAUUUGAUGGAAGCUAGAAGAAUGUUAAUACUUGAAGAUUGAAGCAAAAAAAGAGAUUUAGAAGCUAGUGUCGAUGCACUUAGAAGGCUAUGAGAAGGGAACUGUUGCUGUCUUUUCUGUACAAUAAGGAGUUGUUGCAGCGCAAUUGAGUUGAUUCGUCAUAACUAUUUACAAUCAGGUGAAUUUAUGUUUCUAGAAGAUUACCGAUUCAGCAGAGUCCCUCUUUUGGUAGGCCUCUACUCCUUGAUGAACGACUCUUUUGAAUUAUAUCUUGAGUCGUUGGUGUAUCUGCAGCUAUUUGAGUCUAGGAAUACUAUUAUUUUGGGAUAUACAAACUUUGGAUAUGUAGUCUCUCAAAUUCAGCUUGAUGGCAUAUGUUUGUAAGCAAGGUUUUUAAUUUGAAAAUGUUGAAGAUAGAAAUAUACUUUGCCAAAUUAUAGUAAGUUUUGGUUUCAGAGUGUACUAUUUAUUCACAAGAUUUUUGUCAAGUGUGGUUUGUUAGGCUGGCCAGAUUUUAUGUAUCAGUAGUCUGUGCGCCGGUCACGGCUAGAAGUUGGGUCGUGACAUUUUCUCCGUGAUUUCAUCAUCUAAGUGUGGUGGUAUAUUAUUCGUCGUUUUGUGCGAUGUUGUUUGAUUUUC
Molecule: long non-coding RNA, 1011 nt
Organism: Medicago truncatula (barrel medic)
Lineage: Eukaryota; Viridiplantae; Streptophyta; Magnoliopsida; Fabales; Fabaceae
Exons: 2
Source: RefSeq, a predicted model, not a curated record